Long non-coding RNA from Micropterus salmoides (largemouth bass), 1615 nucleotides. RefSeq lists it as uncharacterized. The record is from RefSeq and is a predicted model, not a curated record. The transcript is spliced from 4 exons. Lineage: Eukaryota; Metazoa; Chordata; Actinopteri; Centrarchiformes; Centrarchidae.
ACUUGUGUUGUGACAGGAGAGGACAGGUACAGAGAGGAAUGUGCUGGUUCAUUGUCUGACUCAACUACACAUUCAGCUUGUGUGCUUUGAUUGGGCUUGCGUGUGAGUGUUUUUGGACGUCAUGUCAAAGAUAUUCGUUCCUGGUUAGAAGCAGUUACUCCAAAGGAAGUGGAAUCAUCAUUUCAGGGUAUUUUAGUUCUGGAUAAGUCUCAGUCAAAACAAAAGGUUGCCUGUGGAAAUCAACAGAGAAGUGCGGGACAGAUUGGGUCAAUCAACACUGAUUGCCAGUCACAUUUUAUGUGCAUUUGGCAGCCUUUAUAGGCGGGUAAACUCCAUGUUUCCGCUGAUUGCUGCUGUGGAGCUGCUGGCCAAAGAUUUUGUUUUGGCUGCAGAUGGAUGGUACUCUCUACUGAAUGAAAGAGAAUUUACAUGAGAGCAAAGGAUUGCGGAGGAUCCAAACACAGCCUGCGGGGCAUGUCUGCUUAGUGUUUGCACGUGCGACUGUUGUUGUGUCAAAGUCCAGCAGAUCUGUUCCCAGAUUGCUUGGCUGAGUCUGAGGCCUUGAAACCCACAGUGUUGCUGGCUGUUAAUCAGAGUUGCCUGGGACAUCAGGCGGCUGCUGUCAAGAUGCCCAGCCCUAGGCUCCAGGCAGCAAUAUUUAUCAUUUGCAACAGCGGGCUCCACUCCAUCACACUUCUCCAAUCCUCUAGCCAUCCACAUCCUCAAAACCCGUAAAUUGAGAGCUCAGUAAAUCAAGGCCACGUUCUGGAGGAGAUCAUGCACGCGAUGAUGUCAUUAUGUGAAGGGACUGGGAUUUCUGACAUGUGCGGCGGAAGCCUUCAAAUAUCAGAAGUGGCAUUUGAUCCUGGGAGCUAUCCUGUGCAGGGACAAUAAGCACAAGGAGGAAAACUUGGUGGUGAUGGUGAAUUGGAUCGUAGACUAUUGAGACACGCAGGGUGGUUUAGUAGUCUUGAGUUGAAAGGAUGUUAGUGUUUACCAGGCUUGUAGGGUCUCACUGAAGAAGUUAUCAAGUUGCAUUUAGAUAAUCAGUUUGGAUUCAAAACAGUUACAAUGAAAUCCAAAAGUGACCCAGAGUCACAUCCAAAGAAACCUCUCCUGCAGCAUAAUCUACAUCUCUGCCAUCAAACCUGUUUUCAUCUGUAUCUGUAACCUACAAACUCAACUUUCAAACCUACAGGAGGUAAAAAGAUUUUUAAUGGAGAAUUCCUCUAAUAUUCUUAAUAAAUUUCCGUGUUUGCCAUCCAAAAGACUUCCCGACUGCAGUCAGUGGGCCCACGGUCAUAUUACAACCUGUGCAAUUUCAUGCAAACGACUAAAUGAGAAACUACGUCCAAGAGUAGAGUGAGAGCUUGCGUGUCCACAUUUUGCCAUCUAAAUAAUGUAGCGGUCCGACUCAAAUGCGAUCAAAGUAAACAAAAACCAUCCAAGGGAGCUCAGUGAAAGUGCUCUGUGUCAAUUAUUGAUGCUGAAACGGGCCAAACACCUGCCUCUGCUGAACUGGACCCGCACCAGAUUUCACAUUAUAAACCAAGGAUUUGGCAGCAGCGAUGCAUCAACUCUCAAAACACUGAAGAAAUAAGGGGAGUGGCUGUUU